This 506-nucleotide ribosomal RNA is filed under the name Laccornellus lugubris. RNAcentral describes it as "partial 16S ribosomal RNA". It matches the Rfam family "Bacterial large subunit ribosomal RNA", at positions 1825 to 2597 of the family's 2925-position model. The record is from RNAcentral. Lineage: Eukaryota; Metazoa; Arthropoda; Insecta; Coleoptera; Dytiscidae.
GUCCUUUAGAAUAGAAUUUAAGGUCUGACCUGCCCACUGAAAAUUUUAAAAGGCCGCAGUAAUUUGACUGUGCAAAGGUAGCAUAAUCAUUAGUUUUUUAAUUAAAAGCUUGUAUGAAGGGUUGGACGAGAUAAAGACUGUCUCUGAAUAAAUAGUAGAAUUUAAUUUUUAAGUUAAAAAGCUUAAAUAUUAUUAAAAGACGAGAAGACCCUAUAGAUCUUUAUAGUUGAUAAUUAAUUUUAUUUAUGAUUUUUUUAUUUAUUAGUAGUUAAACUAUUUUAUUGGGGUAAUAGAAAGAUUUAAAUAAUUCUUUUUUAAGUAAAACAAUAAUAAUUGAAAAUUUGAUCCAUUAUUAGUGAUUAGAAGAUUAAGUUACCUUAGGGAUAACAGCGUAAUUUUUUUAAAGAGUUCAUAUCGAUAAAAAAGUUUGCGACCUCGAUGUUGGAUUAAAACUUAUCUUAGGUGCAGAAUUUUAAGAUUUUGGUCUGUUCGACCAUUGAAGUUUU